This is an RNA transcript of Myotis myotis, 1007 nucleotides long. It is a transcript of the gene named dynein light chain Tctex-type 1, with no coding region annotated. Lineage: Eukaryota; Metazoa; Chordata; Mammalia; Chiroptera; Vespertilionidae. The transcript has 5 exons. The record is from RefSeq and is a predicted model, not a curated record.
GGAAGGGCGGGGCCGGGUAGUCCUGGGCCGCAGUGCGCCGGCGCAGUGCGCUCUCCUCGGGGCGGCGGAGGCGACGCGCCGGGGAAGAUGGAAGACUACCAGACUGCGGAAGAGACCACUUUUGUUGUUGACGAAGUGAGCAACAUUGUGAAAGAGGCUAUAGAAAGUGCCAUCGGCGGCAACGCCUAUCAGCACAGCAAAGUCAACCAGUGGACCACAAAUGUCGUAGAACAAACUUUAAGCCAACUCACCAAGCUGGGAAAACCAUUCAAAUACAUUGUGACCUGUAUAAUUAUGCAGAAGAACGGAGCAGGACUACACACGGCGAGUUCUUGCUUCUGGGACAGCUCUACUGACGGUACGGUUCUCAGUCUCUGGGUCAGAGUCUGUCGUGGGCAUUUUCCUGAGGCGGUGGUGUCUUCUUGGACCUGCUGAGAUCUAGACUGUCCAAAGCCGAGUUUCCUGAACUGUGUGCGUGGGUGUUCCUGUCUCUGAAUGCAUGCUUAUUAGAGUUACCUUUAAAGCAUUUUAUAGAAAAGAGACUUGCCAGCCUUUAUGUAUGUACCACAAAGAGGGAGCUGCACCGUGCGAUGGGAGAAUAAGACCAUGUACUGCAUCGUCAGCGCCUUCGGACUGUCCAUCUGACUGACCACCUCAUCCCCCCAGGCUCUUUCUCCUCUGUCUCAACAUUUCUCUCCGAUCUUCUAGCCACCAGCCAUGAAUUCAGUGAACAGCUUUCCCGCCCUUUGUUUUCUGUGGCACUCUCAACAUGCAGAGAAAAACCCAAGUGACCGCACUGUCCUGUGAUCAGCACACCCUCAAUCACGGAUCGUUCUUGGGCAGUCGGAACCUGGACUGCCACGUGUCCGCACUCUGAAUAUCUCUGUUCAAAGGUGCUAAACACUCAACCUGCUAGUGUGAACCUUUCUCUACUCUCUGAAAUCAUUCAAACACACUAAUUUUUCCAUACUUUGUACUUUUGUUAGAAUAAAUUAUUCCAAUUUAAA